AAGAGAGAGAAGUGUGUGAUCUCCAUUGUUUUUCUUCCAUUGAAACCAUAGCUAAAUUCCUUCUCAAGUCUCAAGAAUAUUCGGAUUUUAAGGUGAAAUUGGAGGAAUCAACUCCAAAAGUCUUCUACUAGGAUUAGAAACCCGGUCGAGUUGCAGAUUAGUGUGGACCCCUGUAGCCCAGCGAGCUCUGAACAGAAGAGAAGUACAGGUUGAGGUCUACUCUAUCUUAGAAUAGAUACUCUGGAAGGAGGACUUCCUUAUGUAUUAAGUUUGAUAUUGAUGUUGUAGUUUGAUGUUGUAUUUUGAGGUUGUAAGUUUAGCCUUAACGUUUGGGUAUAGGAGAGAUACCUAAGCGUGGCGGUAACACCCAGUUUUCUGCUGGCUAGAUGUAAGGUUCCGCGACGCAUUAUCAGUGAUUUUGUAAUACAAGUAAGAGUUGAAAA
Ipomoea triloba (trilobed morning glory) is the source of this 443-nucleotide long non-coding RNA. RefSeq lists it as uncharacterized. The transcript is spliced from 3 exons. NCBI's taxonomy places the organism in Eukaryota, Viridiplantae, Streptophyta, Magnoliopsida, Solanales, Convolvulaceae. The record is from RefSeq and is a predicted model, not a curated record.